RNAcentral lists this ribosomal RNA (629 nucleotides) under Dyella sp. IBb313. RNAcentral's name for it is "bacterial SSU rRNA". It matches the Rfam family "Bacterial small subunit ribosomal RNA", at positions 382 to 1002 of the family's 1533-position model. The record is from RNAcentral. Lineage: Bacteria; Pseudomonadati; Pseudomonadota; Gammaproteobacteria; Lysobacterales; Rhodanobacteraceae.
CCUGAUCCAGCAAUGCCGCGUGUGUGAAGAAGGCCUUCGGGUUGUAAAGCACUUUUAUCAGGAGCGAAAUACUGCCGGCUAAUACCCGGCGGGGCUGACGGUACCUGAGGAAUAAGCACCGGCUAACUUCGUGCCAGCAGCCGCGGUAAUACGAAGGGUGCAAGCGUUAAUCGGAAUUACUGGGCGUAAAGCGUGCGUAGGCGGUUCUUUAAGUCUGCUGUGAAAUCCCCGGGCUCAACCUGGGAAUGGCAGUGGAUACUGGAGAGCUAGAGUGUGAUAGAGGAUGGUGGAAUUCCCGGUGUAGCGGUGAAAUGCGUAGAGAUCGGGAGGAACAUCAGUGGCGAAGGCGGCCAUCUGGAUCAACACUGACGCUGAGGCACGAAAGCGUGGGGAGCAAACAGGAUUAGAUACCCUGGUAGUCCACGCCCUAAACGAUGCGAACUGGAUGUUGGUCUCAACUCGGAGAUCAGUGUCGAAGCUAACGCGUUAAGUUCGCCGCCUGGGGAGUACGGUCGCAAGACUGAAACUCAAAGGAAUUGACGGGGGCCCGCACAAGCGGUGGAGUAUGUGGUUUAAUUCGAUGCAACGCGAAGAACCUUACCUGGCCUUGACAUGUCUGGAAUCCUGCA